UGUCCGGAAUGACGUAAAACUACCAGCACAAGGGAAGCAACCCCGUAAAAAGCGUA
Clostridium sp. CAG:7 is the source of this 56-nucleotide regulatory RNA element. It matches the Rfam family "GP20-b RNA". Lineage: Bacteria; Bacillati; Bacillota; Clostridia; Eubacteriales; Clostridiaceae. The record is from Rfam.